RNAcentral lists this ribosomal RNA (253 nucleotides) under uncultured prokaryote. RNAcentral describes it as "partial 16S ribosomal RNA". It matches the Rfam family "Bacterial small subunit ribosomal RNA", at positions 524 to 776 of the family's 1533-position model. The record is from RNAcentral.
UACGAAGGGGGCGAGCGUUGUUCGGAAUUAUUGGGCGUAAAGGGCGCGUAGGCGGUGCCACAAGUCACCUGUGAAAUCCCCGGGCUUAACUCGGGGCCUGCAGGCGAAACUGUGGUGCUGGAGUAUGGGAGAGGUGCGUGGAAUUCCCGGUGUAGCGGUGAAAUGCGCAGAUAUCGGGAGGAACACCGGUGGCGAAGGCGGUUCUCUGGGCCUUACCUGACGCUGAGGAGCGAAAGCGUGGGGAGCGAACAGG